RNAcentral lists this transfer RNA (72 nucleotides) under Camelus bactrianus (Bactrian camel). It matches the Rfam family "tRNA". Rfam says of the family: Transfer RNA (tRNA) molecules are approximately 80 nucleotides in length. RNAcentral also lists the same sequence under 2 other names. Lineage: Eukaryota; Metazoa; Chordata; Mammalia; Artiodactyla; Camelidae. The record is from Rfam by way of RNAcentral.
GAAGGUGUAGCCCAAUGGUAGAGCAUGUGCUUAGCAUGCACAAGGUCCUGGGUUCAAUCCCCAGAACCUCCA